This 496-nucleotide long non-coding RNA is filed under the name Bos taurus (domestic cattle). Its description in RNAcentral is "long non-coding RNA NONBTAT011625". Lineage: Eukaryota; Metazoa; Chordata; Mammalia; Artiodactyla; Bovidae. The record is from RNAcentral.
GAUAAACAAAGAAGCACAUGUUACAAAGGAAAAUGUGCUGGUAUCAUGUAAGAUAUUAUUUAGUAGCUGCUUUCAAAUAAUUGAAUCAUAGACACAGAUUUCUGAGGUUUUAAGCUCAUUAUUUUGGCUCCCUGGUUUCUCCUAGGAUGCAGUAUAGAAUCUCCAUGCCUGGUGUUUAUGUACAAACAGAAGCUGCUUUUUCUUUCUUUCAUUAUUUCUUUUUUAAGUGAAAGUUAAAACCUUUUAUAUGUUACAGAGAAGAGGCAGAAAAAGCCACACUCCCACUCUGGUACAAUGCAGAGAGAAUCAGCUGAGGGAGGAUUAUGCACAUGGCUGGGUCCAAUUUAUUCAAUGGUUCUUUUGCUUUGUAGAUAGCAAAUGGUGGUAUUCAUCUUGUGUGAUGAAUAACAUCAUCACAUCUUGUGUGAUUAGCAAAUGUGAGGUCAAAAUGAAUCUUUUAACAACUAGAAUUAUUUUGUUAUUUAAAAAUGGUUUG